This is a non-coding RNA of Malus domestica (apple), 1007 nucleotides long. The record is from RefSeq and is a predicted model, not a curated record. NCBI's taxonomy places the organism in Eukaryota, Viridiplantae, Streptophyta, Magnoliopsida, Rosales, Rosaceae.
UUAUUAGAGCAAGGGUUGAUCGAGCUUCCCAAACCCAGGUUUUCACGAGCGUUGGCGAGUCCUUUAGCUUCCUCUUGAUCUUGGAUUGCAUCAACCGCUUAAGUGAAACCAAAAGGGGAGAAUUUCCAUUAAUUCCUUGAGAAUAGUUGGUGGCUCACCCUGAAAGUCUACAUUUCUGAGGGCCAAGAAGACUCACAUAGACAUAUGAGCCUCCUCCUAGCCAUCAUUGUGGGAUUCACCGACGUUAAGAAUCAAACCCAAAAUGUGUUGUGCAAAAUACGAGCUUGAAAUUCGUCCAUAACUACUAGAUCACCCUGAGGUAAAUGCAAUGAAUAUGAAUGGUACACUAUCACGACGGAGACAGUGGCAGAUCUAGAAAAUAUAGUGCGAAGUGCGCAAAAAGAUAGUUUAUUCAUGGAGGCAUUUAGGCGAGCAAUUGGUGGGUUUGUGUCAUCAACCGAACCAAGUUGCACACAUUUAAGAAGAUAUUGACAUAUGCCGAGGCAAUCUGACGAGUGCUAUUGAGAGAAUUUGUCGAGUGUUAAUGCAGCUUGCGAGAAACAUUUUGUCAAACACUUGGUGUGCACAAAAAAGACAUGUACCAAACAUCCAGAGGGUCCUCGUAAGACCUUUACAUGUAUAUUUCAGACAAGAAUUAUCUUCCCUCAUAUUUUUUUUCCCUUCUCUUUACUUCCCAAUUUUUUGUAGAGAGAAAGACGAAAAAAAAGUAGUGGGAGAAAGAAGAGAAAAAAACUGUGAGGGGAGGAGAGGGAAUCCUCAUUCGCCAUUGGACGGAGAAAACGUUUUUUGUAUUUGUUGCAUGUAGAAUAUCUUUCACGUUCUUAAUUAUUUGUUGCUCAUAAAAUAUAGCAAAUAUGAGACAACUCGUUUGUUUUGAGUUCUAAUUAAAUAAGAGCACGCAUAGAAACUCAUUAUUUUGCUUUAAAUUCUCAUGAAAUGAUUGAAAUGUGGGUUUGUAUGUGCAAAACAAAGGCAUUUUUCUUUUU